This 442-nucleotide ribosomal RNA is filed under the name uncultured bacterium. RNAcentral's name for it is "partial 16S ribosomal RNA". It matches the Rfam family "Bacterial small subunit ribosomal RNA", at positions 338 to 795 of the family's 1533-position model. The record is from RNAcentral.
CCUACGGGGGGCUGCAGUGGGGAAUAUUGGGCAAUGGGCGCAAGCCUGACCCAGCAACGCCGCGUGAAGGAAGAAGGCUUUCGGGUUGUAAACUUCUUUUAAGAGGGAAGAGCAGAAGACGGUACCUCUUGAAUAAGCCACGGCUAACUACGUGCCAGCAGCCGCGGUAAUACGUAGGUGGCAAGCGUUGUCCGGAUUUACUGGGUGUAAAGGUCGUGUAGCCGGGCUGACAAGUCAGAUGUGAAAUUCCGGGGCCCAACCCCGGACCUGCAUUUGAAACUGUUGGUCUUGAGUAUCGGAGAGGCAGGCGGAAUUCCAAGUGUAGCGGUGAAAUGCGUAGAUAGUAGGAGGAACACCAGUGGCGAAGGCGGCCGGCUGGACGACAACUGACGGUGAGGCGCGAAAGCGUGGGGAGCAAACAGGAUUAGAUACCCUAGUAGUC